Molecule: long non-coding RNA, 1413 nt
Organism: Tyto alba (common barn owl)
Lineage: Eukaryota; Metazoa; Chordata; Aves; Strigiformes; Tytonidae
Exons: 7
Source: RefSeq, a predicted model, not a curated record
CCCCCUCCCCCCGGUUUGACACCCCCUCCCGCCCCGCUCCGCCCUCCUCCCCGCCCCGCCGGUUGUCCCUCCGUAAACGGAAGCCGAGGAGGGACGAAGGAGCCGGGGAGGAGGUUGGAGCAGCGCGAUGGGGGACUCCAAAGUGAAGGUGGCGGUGCGCGUCCGCCCCACGAACCGGCGAGCGGCCGAGAGUCAUGAAUGCCUCACAACUGGUGACUGCAGAGCUAGAAAAUGGAAUGACAACAGCUCAGCAGCCGCUUUAGAGACAGCCAGCGUGGCUUCGCCGAGGGCAAAUCGUGCCCGACUAAUCCAGCGGCCUUCCAUGAUGGAGUGACGGCAUUAGAGGACGAGGGAAGAGCUACGGAUGUCACCUGCCUGGAGGACGUCAGUGAGGCACGGACAGUUUUGCAGGCAUCCAUGAGUGAAGGACCAGAGUACCUCAAUCUGUCCCUUCAACAAUCCUUCCCCGCUCCAUGUUUUCAAUUGGAAACCGCACCAGUGAGCUCCUAAAUCCAGGCGGCGCCUCUGCAGAAGUGGAGCAAAACCAACAUGAUUCAGCAGAUGAAGCUGUAAAAUAUUCCAACCUUUGAAGUCAAGGCAGUUCAGCCCUGACCAUUCAUGUAUCUCAGAAGUACUAGGAGAUAAACGCGGGAAACAUUACACAGCUCGACUGAAAAGCAAGAUAAACCUGAAGGCAAACUUAUCGUACCAGAAUAAAACUCUUUACUCCUGGGACUGGCCAAAACAACAAUCUAUGAAAAAUGCAAAACAGCAACAGGUCUUGUUUUUAAACUGUUUCGCAAAAUAUUUUUGUGCUGAGAACCUGAUCACUGAAGAUGCUAAAGUGCUGCUGGCUGCCCUGAAUGCCUCCCAGUCUCUGACUGGGACUGUCCCAGUUGGUGCUCAGCUUCUUGCAGAAGUGGACCCCUUAAGAGUUUGCAUACAACUAACUAAACACUAGAGGCAGGGGCUCGCAUAAAGGAAAUGUCCAGAGGCAAGACUGCAGAGCCAUGAGAAGUCAUCGCCUUCCCAGAGCCCCGAUAAAACCCGACGUUGAAGCUGAGGAUGGUUCUUUGGCCUCCGAGGAUGUCUCCGUCUUCAGAGAAGUUUGCAGAACGUAGCAACGAUCACGUGCGAAUCUGGUUUCUCUUUGGCAAUUAGAAUGGAAGAAAGGUUGAAAGGGUGACUCAACAGAAAAAACAUCACCCUCCACUUGCGGCUCAUCAUGCCCAGCUGUAAAGCGGGGAUUAUAUUUACCUCCAUUGCAAAGUACUCGGUUUCAGAAGACGUUGGUGCGGUUUGCUGAGGCCCCGGCUGGAAAUACCACAAGAAGUUCAAAGCCCGGUUUCAUCCUGUAAUUGGAUCCUCAAGUCCACAAGUGCAAGAACCAACUGUGCGGGCUGACAGCAGGUC